UACGUAGGGUGCGAGCGUUAAUCGGAAUUACUGGGCGUAAAGCGUGCGCAGGCGGUUUCACAAGCUCGAUGUGAAGGCCCCGGGCUUAACCUGGGAAUGGCAUUGAGGACUGUGGAGCUCGAGUGCGGCAGAGGGAGGUGGAAUUCCACGUGUAGCAGUGAAAUGCGUAGAGAUGUGGAGGAACACCGAUGGCGAAGGCAGCCUCCUGGGCCGACACUGACGCUCAUGCACGAAAGCGUGGGGAGCAAACAGG
RNAcentral lists this ribosomal RNA (253 nucleotides) under uncultured bacterium. Its description in RNAcentral is "partial 16S ribosomal RNA". It matches the Rfam family "Bacterial small subunit ribosomal RNA", at positions 524 to 776 of the family's 1533-position model. The record is from RNAcentral.